Molecule: ribosomal RNA, 119 nt
Filed under: Pogona vitticeps (central bearded dragon)
Lineage: Eukaryota; Metazoa; Chordata; Lepidosauria; Squamata; Agamidae
Source: RNAcentral
UUCUGAGCAUAUUAUCUUGAGCACACCACAUCUCACCUGAUUUUGAGAGUUAAACAAGGUUGGCCCCUGAGUUAGUAUUUAGAUAGGAGACCACCGAAGAAUAUUGGGCAUCUCUGGAC